RNAcentral lists this ribosomal RNA (491 nucleotides) under uncultured bacterium. RNAcentral describes it as "partial 16S ribosomal RNA". It matches the Rfam family "Bacterial small subunit ribosomal RNA", at positions 29 to 506 of the family's 1533-position model. The record is from RNAcentral.
AGUGAACGCUGGCGGUAGGCCUAACACAUGCAAGUCGAACGGCAGCACAGUAAGAGCUUGCUCUUACGGGUGGCGAGUGGCGGACGGGUGAGGAAUACAUCGGAAUCUACUUUUUCGUGGGGGAUAACGUAGGGAAACUUACGCUAAUACCGCAUACGACCUACGGGUGAAAGCAGGGGAUCUUCGGACCUUGCGCGAUUGAAUGAGCCGAUGUCGGAUUAGCUAGUUGGCGGGGUAAAGGCCCACCAAGGCGACGAUCCGUAGCUGGUCUGAGAGGAUGAUCAGCCACACUGGAACUGAGACACGGUCCAGACUCCGACGGGAGGCAGCAGUGGGGAAUAUUGGACAAGGGGCGCAAGCCUGAUCCAGCCAUACCGCGUGGGUGAAGAAGGCCUUCGGGUUGUAAAGCCCUUUUGUUGGGAAAGAAAAGCAGCAGGUUAAUACCCCGCUGUUCUGACGGUACCCAAAGAAUAAGCACCGGCUAACUUCGU